This 83-nucleotide transfer RNA is filed under the name Gemmatales bacterium. RNAcentral's name for it is "tRNA-Leu". It matches the Rfam family "tRNA". Rfam says of the family: Transfer RNA (tRNA) molecules are approximately 80 nucleotides in length. Their secondary structure includes four short double-helical elements and three loops (D, anti-codon, and T loops). The record is from RNAcentral. Lineage: Bacteria; Pseudomonadati; Planctomycetota; Planctomycetia; Gemmatales.
GCCGAAGUGGCGGAAUGGCAGACGCGCCGGAUUCAAAAUCCGGUCCCCUUCGGGGGGUGUGGGUUCAAGUCCCACCUUCGGCA